CUGCUAUAUUUCAUUGUUGUGCAAGUUAUGGAAGCUACAGGAUUGCUAUUUCUUGAUCUUUGCUCUCUGAUACUUCUCUUGCUUACCUCCAAAUGUGACGAUUUUGUGCUUAAAAUAUUCAAAGGGAAAGAACAGGGGCGAAGCUAGAUCUGGGAUGACCCUGGCCCUCCAUACCUCCACAGUGUACAAGUGAUGCCUGAAAAUUAGAUGGGCCCCGCGGCAGGAAACAGGAAUUGACGGGAUCAAUUGCAGCGUGAGAAAAACUGGGCACUGCCUAUUUGGUUAGCGCGCUAAUGGUUAGUGCUAACAGUUAGUGCGAAGGAAUUUUACUAGUAAAUAAAAUUUAUUUAAAAACCUAUUUUAAAGAUGGGUGUAAUUUCGCCAUACGAAUCCAAUGAACACAAUGAUGCUACAGUAACUGGGGCGGCGCGAGGAAAGGGCGGGAUCGGAGGUUGGAGCGAGCACGCGAGAGUAGCUAUUGUGCCGGAGAAGAAGCACAGUACCAAAGCUGGGAGGAAGAAGAAAUGCUCAAGAUUGUCCCAUGAAGAUCCUAUGAUAUAUGCUUAUUAGGGAGUUAAAAUUAGGCGCUAGCGCAAUAACAUGUCCCUGAAUAUGUAUAUGUGUUAAUAUGGGAAUUUAAAAUAGAAAGAUUCUAAAUGGCCAGAAGAUGAGGGAAAUCUAUAACUUUCGAUGCUA
Molecule: long non-coding RNA, 696 nt
Organism: Panicum virgatum (switchgrass)
Lineage: Eukaryota; Viridiplantae; Streptophyta; Magnoliopsida; Poales; Poaceae
Exons: 2
Source: RefSeq, a predicted model, not a curated record